GUGGCCUUUGAGCCACAGCUCUUGUCGUUGGUGGCAGUUGUAGGCUGGAUUCGUCGCUCCAUACGAAAAUCACAUGUUAUGCAUAUGCCGCCUUCAUUCCCCUUUUGAACUCGCCCCUUGCAUCACUCAUUCAAUCUUUUCCUACAGCUCUACUUAGUCAUCUAAUCUAUUUCCUCUUUGUAAGGUUGGUUAUAUUCAACAAUCCUUCUUUCCCCCAUAAGAAUUUGUUGCCCAAGUUUUGAUUUUGAUAACAGCAUGCGCUACUGCAUAUCCAAGUUUGUUAAAUGGCAUCCGCCUCUCAGGAAUUUCAGCUCCGCCAACAGCACCGUCAUGUCUUACAUUCAGCAAAAUAGCAAUUAUGGAAUUACUUCAACAAGUGACAAUAAUGAUGGAACCGCUCCAAAGAUGCAUGAUCCUGCAUGUCAAAAGUUUCCUGCAGACGAACCUGUUUCCAACGUGCUUGUUGAUUCAUUUGGGAGGCAACAUACUUAUUUGAGAAUCUCAUUGACAGAGCGUUGUAAUUUGCGAUGCCUGUACUGUAUGCCUGCUGAAGGCACGGAGCUAACUCCGAGCCCUCAACUUCUUUCACAGAACGAGAUUGUUCGCCUAGCAAAUUUAUUUGUCAGUUCAGGUGUUAAUAAAAUUCGUCUGACUGGUGGGGAGCCCACAGUUAGGAAGGACAUUGAUGAUAUUUGCCUACAGCUCUCACACUUGAAAGGGCUAAAAACACUUGCUAUGACAACUAAUGGAAUCACCCUGGCAAAUAAACUUCCAAGAUUAAAGGAAUGCGGGCUUACUUUGGUAAACAUAAGUUUAGACACAUUGGUUCCAGCAAAGUUUGAAUUUAUGACUCGGCGGAGAGGACAUGAAAGAGUGUUGAACUCCAUCGAUGCUGCUAUAGAGUUGGGAUAUAGUCCUGUCAAAGUAAACUGUGUUGUAAUGCGAGGUUUCAAUGAUGAUGAAAUAUGUGAUUUUGUUGAAUUGACGCGUGAAAAGCCAAUAAACGUAAGGUUUAUUGAGUUCAUGCCUUUUGAUGGGAAUGUCUGGAAUUCAAAGAAACUAGUACCUUACUCGGAGAUGAUGGAUAUUGUGGUAAGGUCAGGCAAGGUACUCCAGAGAAUUCAGGAUCACCCCACUGAGACAGCCAAGAAUUUCAGGAUUGAUGGGCAUCAGGGUACAGUUUCUUUCAUUACAUCGAUGACUGAGCAUUUUUGUGCUGGUUGCAACAGACUGAGACUUUUAGCUGACGGGAACUUUAAAGUUUGCCUCUUUGGUCCGUCGGAGGUAAAACAUUGAGUCGCUCAUCCUCACUAAUAGUUUGCCUCUUUAGUACUCCAUGAUUCAAGGGUUUGAAGCAUAUUUCUUUUGCACCCUUCCCUUCAAGAUGCUCACUUGCCCUACAUGUUGGAGUUGAAAAUGGCUUGAUCAUGUAAAUUCGUGGUUGACACUUGGUUAACAUUAGGUACUAUAUCAAAUAUUUUAAGAUUAUCAAAGGAAGCUCACUUGAACAACUUCUUAGUUCUGUUUCAUCUUAUUGCAAUUAUCAGUGAGUUUGUCUGUCAAAAUGCCAGGCACAGUUAGACUAUUCUUUCAGGGUAAGUUUUAUUUGUUGAUUGUGUAAUAUCUUUAGUAACCCCAGUUAUUCCCCAAACAACUCUUAGGCACAGUUCGGUGAGCAGGUUAGCUUGAGGGACCCCCUGCGGAAUGGUGCUGAUGAUACUGAACUUGAGGCAAUUAUUGAAGCAGCG
Molecule: RNA transcript, 1748 nt
Organism: Salvia splendens (bonfire salvia)
Lineage: Eukaryota; Viridiplantae; Streptophyta; Magnoliopsida; Lamiales; Lamiaceae
Gene name: GTP 3',8-cyclase, mitochondrial
Exons: 5
Source: RefSeq, a predicted model, not a curated record